GGAGGCAAAAGGUUGUUAGGCGCUAGCAGGGAAGGAUCCACACACUGUGGCACUGCGGGAAUAUGCUGUGAUUCUUGAGCUCCCUUCCAAGCUCUUGAAUCCUGUAGUAUUUUCAGAACAGUUUCUUCAACAGAAAAAUCUUUACUUUCAAACAGUAACUUAUUCCUGUUAGUCCAUAGGGUCCAAAACACCCAUGGGAACAAGGGAAUGUCGCUUAGACCCGUUGGGGGCAGAUUAACAAUUUUACUGCAGCUUUCGAUGAGGUUCAUGACUGAGUUUGGUAGCUGUGGAUGUGAGGACGGUGAGUGCAUACAUGGAAGCUGACUCCAAACUCUCUUAGCAAAAGGGCAUUCGAACAAAACAUGGAGUUCUGUUUCUAGUUCCCCACAUCUCUUACAGUUUGCAUCAAUGGCCAUUCCUCUGUUUUGGAUCGCUGAGCCCACGGGUAAGGCUCCUGCCGUAGCUUUCCAGAGUAGAUGUCUUAGUUUUGGGGAGGUAUUAACCUGCCAGAUGCGUUUCUUCCAGUCAAACUGGUCAAAAGGCUCAGCCUCAGUGUUGAGUUUGGCAACUGCGUAACCCGAUUUUGUAGUAUAAGUCCCUGACUUAUCCUUUAGCCACACCAGUUCGUCGCUCAUAUUACAGUCACUGGGGGUGAUCGCCUUAAUGUUCUCCUCAUACUGAGGCAGGUGCUCUCUUAUGGCUUGUACGUUCCACUCGGAGGAGUUAGGUAGCAGGAGGUCAGCCACACAUAGGUUAGCGUUCUCUAGUGUUGGUGGCCCUAUGGGAGUUGAAGGUCUGUCGAGUUGUAGCCAUGGUUGAGACCAGACCGGAAUCGAUUUCCCAUUUCCCACAAUCCAGCCAAGGCCCUUCUUUAGCACCUCCCGCCCCGCUAGUAUACUUCGCCAGCCAUGAGAUGCUGAGGCCGGAGCAACACAAUCCAAAAAAGAUGAAUUGUUGCAGUAUUUUCCCAUGAGGAUUUGGGUAAGCAGGGACUGAGGUUCCUUUAGCAUUCUCCAAGCAAGUUUUGCAAGCAAAGCAUCAUUAAACUGUUCUAUCUCCCUGAAUCCCAAGCCCCCAACACUUUUUGGCCGAGUUAGCCUUGUCCAAGAGACCCAGCACAGUUUUCGAAUCUCGGGUUUUGCAUCCCACCAGAAUCGAGUUAAGACGCUUUGUAUCUGUUUACAUACUGAGAGUGGAAGCUUGAAACACGUCAUUGUGUACGUUGGGAGAGCGGCUAGAACUGCUUGUAAGAGAACCUGCUUUCCAGCACUCGAAAGGUAUCUCGUGGACCAGCUUAUUGAUUUUUGACGGAUCCUGUCAAUAAGCUUUGAGAAAAUAUCCCUCUUCUUUCUCCCAAAAUGCUCGGGGAGUCCUAAAUAUUUUCCGGCCCCUCCCUCACUGUGAAUAUUGAGGAAGUCCUUUACUCGUGUCUUCACCUCGCUUGGUGUUUUUGCAGAGAAGGUAAUAGCCGAUUUACCCAGGUUGAUACACUGUCCUGAAGCACCUUCGUAUAAGGAUAACACCCUCUUCAACGCUUCACAGCAUGCUACACUUGUUUUAGUAAAAAACAUAGUGUCGUCUGCGAACAACAAGUGGUUUACGGGGGGGCAUCUUCUCGCCACUUUUAUCCCGGCCAAGUUCCCAUUCUGCAUUGCUCUAGAACACAGUCCAGAGAGAACUUCGGUGCACAAAAUGAACAAGUAGGGCGAGAGUGGGUCUCCUUGCCUAAUCCCCCGAGACGGAACCACUUUUCCUUGUGCUGAUCCGUUCACCAAGAAGGAGUAUGAGACUGAGCGAAUACACUCCAUAAUCCAUGAGAUCCAAAUGGGGUGAAAACCAAGUCUAACGAGUACUCUCUCAAGGAAACUCCACUUGAUCCUAUCAUACGCUUUGCUCAUAUCCGUUUUCACAGCCAUGGAGCAUCGUACUUUUGCCCCGGAGGUUCGGAGACAGUGGAGGACUUCAUGUGUGAUGAGCACAUUGUCAGAUAUUGCUCUUCCCUUUACGAAGGCGGAUUGGUUACUCGAUAUGAUGGCUUGGAGCACUGGUUGGAGCCGACUGGUGAGUACUUUUGCGAUGAUCUUGUAGUGGGUACUGCACAAAGCAAUCGGCCUGUAAUCCGCAACCGCCUUAGCGCCUCUGGUUUUCGGUAUUAACCUGACGUGGGUUUCGUUGUAACGGCCAUCAAGUGUGUUCGAAGUGAAAAAAUUUCCAACUUCUGCCGUUACAUCAUCUCCUAUUAUGUCCCAAAAGCUUUGGUAGAAGCUUGCCGAGAACCCAUCCGGCCCGGGAGCUUUAUCUGGGUUGAUGGAAAAGACCGCUCUCUUGAUCUCGUGUUUAUCUGGAAUCCUAAUUAAGGCAUCGUUCAUAUCAGUGGUGAUGAGCGGGAAGAGGACCUCGUCGAUGACUUGCAACGAAGUCGUCUGUCUCGAGGAGAAGAGAUCUCUAUAAUACUCUGAGAUAGUAUUGACUAUGUGAUCUUCCUCGUACAUCGCUCGGCCAUUGGCAUCUUCUAUCACCGAGAACUUGUUAAUAGUUCGUCUUUCCCUGGUUAUGGCAUGAAAGAACCCGGAGUUCCGGUCUCCACUAUGCAACCAAAGGAUCCGACUCCUCUGUCUCCAGUAGAGUUCCUCCUCGGUGUAAGCUUUUUCCAGCUUCUGUGACAGUGCAGCUAUCUCAAUCGGGUCAGGAUUUGCGUUCGAGAGUGCCUCCUCCAGCUUUGCUUGCGUUUCCAGAAUUGCCUCCUUGCUGUUCCGGUUCUGAAGUUUGGUCCAUUCCAUUAGUUUUCUCCUGAUCCUACAGAUCUUGGAGAGGACCGAUUCAUAUGAUCUUGCUGUCCAGUGCUCUUCAACUAACUCUUUUAUCUCAGGUUUGUCUUUAAGGCUUCGAUCAAAGCGAAAUAGCCCCCGCUUUUUCUUCUGAGUCUGAUUGAGGUGGACUAAGACUGGACGAUGAUCCGAGCCUUCAAAUCUCAGAUAUUCACAGCAACCGGAAGGGAAGAGCUCAGCCCAUUUACAGUUGAUCAUUGCGCGGUCUAGGCGGGACUGUAUAAAGUGACUGUACCGAGUUCCCCUCCACGAGAGAGAGUUGCCAGAGUGUUGGAGAUCCCACAACCCCAUUUGGGAUACAAAGCUCCUGAAAGCCAGAAAAGAUCCUUCCCAUCUCAAGGGACCUCCUACUUUCUCGGAGUUAUCCAGGAGGUCAUUAAAGUCACCAACUACUAACCAAGCUUCUUCGUCUCUUCCUAAACCAACCUCAGUUAACUUGUUCCAGAAAUCUAAUCUAUUUUCUGUUCUAGGCGCUCCAUAGAUGAAGGAGACAAACAUAGGUUUCUGUUGCAAGGUGAUAAUAGUAUCAAUAAAGUUGGGAGAGGAAGAGAGAAUAUCGACCUGAGUAUCGGUUUUCCAUGAUAGCGAGAGCCCGCCACUGGUCCCACUCGGGGGUACGGUGAAGUGGUUUGUAUAUUCCGUUCGCUGGAACAUUCGGAGCACCACUUCGUCUUGAUUCAUCGUCUCCAUAAGGAAGAUAACUUCAGGGGAAAUUCUUUUUUUGAAUUCCCUGAUUCGCUGGCCUGUCAGGGUGCUCCCAAUCCCUUGACAGUUCCAGCUAAGUAGCGCUAAGGAAGAGCGCUUGGGGUUGCCCGAAAAUCCUUUUGCUUCUUUGUUAUCGCUGGAAUAAGUUUAGGCUUCGGGACCCCUCUCUGUUGAGUCUGAGCUGAUUGUUUUUCCUUCUGUGUUUUUCUCUUAGGGGAGCUUUGGGUUUUGGUAACUCUCCUUUUCUUCAGAUUGAUUCCUUGGAGGGGGCUAGCAUUGUAUCUUUUCUUCUCCGUUGAAGUCCCUACUUUUCUUCUUGCCACACUCCUGGUGACUAUUGCCGGUCCAUCAGACAACCGAGACUGGAUGGGGAUAUCAGAUUGGCUUGAGGCCGGGAGAGGACCAAGGCGUAGAGAUACGUGUCUCCUAUCUUCACUGAGUGUCCUUAUCGGAGAAGACCCGCCUGGUGGUGAGCUGAGAGUUCCCGGGGGCCUAGAGGCUGACGGUCGAGUAUUGCUAUCUAGUCGUGGAGGUUCUAUUAUCUCUUCCAGAUACUGAAUCUCAAUAUCUUGAAGUCGACUUGAGCCUGUGGAGGUGCCUUGAUGCACAAGUUUAGAUUUCCCAUUAGAGGGUAAGGAUAGUCGGUCUCUUGCAGGGGUUCUAUCAGCCGAACGCUGAGCUCCCACUGUCUCGCCUUCCUCUCUGAGAGAUAGUGAUCUUCUCAGGUCAGAGGAAUGUGGAAUAGAAGGUGGGAGCAGUCUUUCUUUGGCUGGGCGCCUGUCAGUCGAGAGGCGCACCCCUGAAUCCACUUCUUCGUCUCUUCGUAUCAGAGUUCUUCGCAAGUCUGAUGAGUGUGGGGUUCUCGCAGGUAAAGCCGGAGAUUGGAUCGUCUUUGAAACUGAGUCCUGACUUGGUGUUUUCCUGUGCUCAGUUCUUCCUUCUUGCUUAUCUCCAUCGAUGCGGUGUGAUCCCAGUACAUUGUUUGCCCUCUCAGAGAUUCGGACUCUACUUUCAGUUCUAGACGCAGGUCCUAUUAAGAAGGGUCUGUCACUACUGGGGUCAUCCCUUCCUCUGCGGAACUCACUGACCACAGGUGAGAAGUGUCGUUGGUGUCGAGAGUUGUAUCUUUGGUUCUGUACUGAUAUAAUCCUUAUUUUUUCUUUUCGAAACAUUUACCUUAACUGUGUAUUAUUAUCCUCCCCUUUAAUCCAUUGUCUCAAUCUUCUUACUGUCACCGCUCACAAGUUAGCUUUGUGAUCUACACCAAUGACCUUCUUAAGGUUACAGUACGCAAACAAUUGUAGAU
This 4839-nucleotide long non-coding RNA is filed under the name Brassica rapa (field mustard). Its description in RNAcentral is "long non-coding RNA (BRAP_LNC007957)". The record is from RNAcentral. Lineage: Eukaryota; Viridiplantae; Streptophyta; Magnoliopsida; Brassicales; Brassicaceae.